Molecule: unclassified non-coding RNA, 261 nt
Filed under: Hevea brasiliensis (rubber tree)
Lineage: Eukaryota; Viridiplantae; Streptophyta; Magnoliopsida; Malpighiales; Euphorbiaceae
Source: RNAcentral
UGGAUAUGUAAGAGAAAGCAGAGAAAAAUGAUAAGGCGGUUGCCAUUGGUGCUUUGUCGGCAGGUAAAAUUUUAAGAUUUUUUAUUUUUUAUUUUAUUUUUUUUUUUUCUGUUAACGAUCAUCAACACAAGCAGCACGCCCAUCCAUAAACGACAUGUAGCUUUACUGCUUUUUAGUUUUACUUCCCAAUUAAUCCAUAAGUAUUCGAACUGGUCAAUUCUGGUUUUAAAAACACUGCUGCAAACUUUCACAUGACAGCUC